AAUUGAGAGUUUGAUCCUGGCUCAGGACGAACGCUGGCGGUGUGCUUAACACAUGCAAGUCAACGAGAAUUUUAUCUUCGGAUAAAUAAUAAAGUGGCGAACGGGUGAGUAACGCGUAAAUAACUUGCCUUGGAGAUUGGGACAACAUUGGGAAACCAGUGCUAAUACCAAAUAAUGCAAUAAGUUCUUCGGGACAUAUUGUUAAAGUAGGCUUCGGCUUACACUUCAAGAUAGAUUUGCGUCCGAUUAGUUAGUUGGUAGGGUAAUAGCCUACCAAGACUGAGAUCGGUAGCUGGUCUGAGAGGAUGAUCAGCCACACUGGAAUUGAGAUACGGUCCAGACUCCUACGGGAGGCAGCAGUGAGGAAUUUUGCACAAUGGGCGAAAGCCUGAUGCAGCAACACCGCGUGAUUGAUGAAGUUUUUAGGAAUGUAAAAAUCUGUCGUAAGUGAAGAAAUGUUUCGGAUGUUAAUACCAUCUGUCAUUGACGGUAACUUACAAGAAAGGACCGGCUAACUUCGUGCCAGCAGCCGCGGUAAUACGAGGGGUCCUAGCGUUGUCCGGAUUUACUGGGCGUAAAGGGUACGUAGGCGUUUUAAUAAGUUAUAUGUUAAAUAUCUUGGCUUAACCAAGAAAGUGCAUAUAAAACUGUUAAAAUAGAGUUUGAGAGAGGAACGCAGAAUUCAUGGUGGAGCGGUGACAUGCGUAGAUCUCCUGAGGAAAGUCACAUGCGAAGGCAGCCUUCUGGCUCAAAACUG
Molecule: ribosomal RNA, 757 nt
Filed under: Paracoccaceae bacterium
Lineage: Bacteria; Pseudomonadati; Pseudomonadota; Alphaproteobacteria; Rhodobacterales; Paracoccaceae
Description: bacterial SSU rRNA
Rfam family: Bacterial small subunit ribosomal RNA
Source: RNAcentral